RNAcentral lists this transfer RNA (477 nucleotides) under Oculatella cataractarum GSE-PSE-MK49-07D. RNAcentral describes it as "16S-23S ribosomal RNA intergenic spacer". The stretch from base 220 to 292 matches the Rfam family "tRNA". Lineage: Bacteria; Bacillati; Cyanobacteriota; Cyanophyceae; Oculatellales; Oculatellaceae. The record is from RNAcentral.
UUAAGGGAGACCUACCCAUUCAGAAUCUGAAAGCAAAGUGCAAAUAGGAACUGGAUUGGUCAUCCCAAGGUCGUUCGAGGUAUGAGUGUUCGUGGCUUUCAAACUAUUACAGGUUCGGUAUGUGGGCUAUUAGCUCAGGUGGUUAGAGCGCACCCCUGAUAAGGGUGAGGUCCCUGGUUCGAGUCCAGGAUGGCCCACCUUAGCGAUUGAUAAUUGCUUGGGGGUUUAGCUCAGUUGGUAGAGCGCCUGCUUUGCAAGCAGGAUGUCAGCGGUUCGAGUCCGCUAACCUCCACUGGGAGUUAAUAGAGCAAGAGGUAGGAAAGUUCAGCAACUUAUCUAGGUUUAGCUAGAGAGCCUGCUGGAGAUGUCCAGCCAGAACCAUGAAAACUGCAUAGCGAGAAAAAGAUUUCUGUCAGGUAGUAGAAGAUUGAUUUGAUUUAGCUCAAGUCAAUCCAACACAGACACCAAUGAAUUUUG